Molecule: long non-coding RNA, 338 nt
Organism: Pseudomyrmex gracilis
Lineage: Eukaryota; Metazoa; Arthropoda; Insecta; Hymenoptera; Formicidae
Exons: 2
Source: RefSeq, a predicted model, not a curated record
UUCACUCGAAUUAAUCUUUGGAGGCCAGAUUCAGCUUGCCGAUCAACUGAUACACUCUAUUGAAAAAGACUUGAAGAAAAUCUUAAGGCAACUUCAAAUGCCAGAGAAACUUCUGUGCGGGCGGCAGAAUCGAUAAAAACUUAUCAAGAAAUACCGCCUUUUCGACCUCUGCCACUUGGCUCUCAACCACUGACUAAGCAACCUGCAGUGAUGAACGUAACAAUUUACAAAAUACCAUUUAUCCAUCAAGAAGUAGCGGAACCGUCUCCUCAACAACAGCAACGACUUCACCAAGAAACGAAUCUAAAGCAAAGCAUGCAACAAGACACAUUGGCGUU